ACUUGCCCAAUCUGCCGGAAAUCACGAAGAAGAAAUGAUUGCGUUCAUAGCAAUGGCGCAGAAUUCGAAUCGAGUGAAAAUAGGUGAUUGUCGUGUCUACUGGUGAUUAUGUAAAACUUGUUUCGGCGUACUCUUGACUGAAAAAAGAAAGGUGCAAAACUGAAGGAGAAUGUUGGCAGCCACUCAAAAUAUACUCCACACGCGUAACGAAGUUGGCCUGGCAGGGCGCCUUUGAUGCCGGCGUCGAGACGAGGGACCUCGAACGAAAAACGAAGCGCCGUCCAGUCCAUCUGCGACAUUGGAGCUUUUUGGUGAUUUGCCCCAAUCCACCAAAACCAGCGACACGCUGCCUCUAGGCAGGUGAAAUGUGGUGCAAGGCAAUGCUGCGCAGCCAUAGCAGUUACUGGCUAAAAAGAAAACCUACUUUUGACAUUGCAGUGCUGUGUAAGACCUCCCAAAAAAAAGGCAGUUUUGAAGCUGAUGGAAGAAUCAUCAAGAUACUAUGUGGACAUGCGGGAGAUAAAUACAACCAUUAUUAACAUGAGUAGCACAAUUCAGAUUUUUUUUCUCCCCUGAUAAGGCAAUUAUUAAAUAAUUAUUCGUACGAUUGCUUUUUAGCUUAGUUGUUUUUAUUAGUAUUGUUACAAUGUACCUUUUUUGCGGUUUGUUUUUUUUUGUGCGUGUGUGUGUUGUUGUAAUAAAUCCCUUUUGGAGAUUACCCUGAA
Molecule: long non-coding RNA, 725 nt
Organism: Syngnathoides biaculeatus (alligator pipefish)
Lineage: Eukaryota; Metazoa; Chordata; Actinopteri; Syngnathiformes; Syngnathidae
Exons: 2
Source: RefSeq, a predicted model, not a curated record